GAUGAACGCUGGCGGCGUGCCUAAUACAUGCAAGUCGAGCGGACUUUCAAGAAGCUUGCUUUUUGAAAGUUAGCGGCGGACGGGUGAGUAACACGUGGGCAACCUGCCUGCAAGACGGGGAUAACUCCGGGAAACCGGGGCUAAUACCGGAUAAUAUCUUCCUUCGCAUGAAGGAAGGGUGAAAGGCGGCGCAAGUUGCCGCUUGCAGAUGAGCCGGCGGCGCAUUAGCUGGUUGGUGAGGUAACGGCUCACCAAGGCGACGAUGCGUAGCCGACCUGCGGGGGUGAUCGGCCACACUGGGAACUGGACACGGCCCAGACUCCUUCGGGAGGCAGCAGUAGGGAAACUUCCGCAAUUGACGGAAGUCUGGCGGAGCAACGCCGGGUGAGCGAAGAAGGUCUUCGGAUCGUAAAGCUUUGUUGUCAGGGAAGAACAAGUACCGUUAGAAAAGGGCGGUGUCUUGACGGUACCUGAUCAGAAAGCCACGGCUAACUACGUG
Molecule: ribosomal RNA, 499 nt
Filed under: uncultured bacterium
Lineage: Bacteria
Description: partial 16S ribosomal RNA
Rfam family: Bacterial small subunit ribosomal RNA
Source: RNAcentral